UACGUAGGGCGCAAGCGUUGUCCGGAAUUAUUGGGCGUAAAGAGCUCGUAGGCGGCCAGUUGCGUCCGCUGUGAAAUCCCGGGGCUUAACCCCGGGCGUGCAGUGGAUACGGGCUGGCUAGAGGCAGGCAGGGGAGAACGGAAUUCCCGGUGUAGCGGUGAAAUGCGCAGAUAUCGGGAGGAAGACCAGUGGCGAAGGCGAGUUUCUGGACGGUAACGUGACGCUGAGGCACGGAAAGCGUGGG
Molecule: ribosomal RNA, 244 nt
Filed under: uncultured bacterium
Lineage: Bacteria
Description: partial 16S ribosomal RNA
Rfam family: Bacterial small subunit ribosomal RNA
Source: RNAcentral